This is a long non-coding RNA of Notolabrus celidotus (New Zealand spotty), 390 nucleotides long. RefSeq lists it as uncharacterized. The record is from RefSeq and is a predicted model, not a curated record. The transcript has 2 exons. Lineage: Eukaryota; Metazoa; Chordata; Actinopteri; Labriformes; Labridae.
AUGGAGGGACAAAGUUGUCUUUGUCUCAUCUUCUUUCUUUUUUUCAUUUUUUUUGCUGACCCGAAAAAUGAUCCGAUCCGUGACUCAAAUCCGUGAUCCGAUUCGAACUGUGCUGAGUUUGACGUGAACCAUCUGAGAGAGAAGCUAAUGUUCUGUGAGAGAGCACCAGUUGUAAUUGAUUACAUACACUCUAAAGAAACAAGGAGACAUCAUUCAAGAGUUUCCUUGAACGGACCAGCACAGCGAAUAGAGCAACACCACAGGGUCACUAAUGUUACAGACAGUGCUGUGUUUGGUUUGUGUUUUUGCCUUUAAGAACUCAGUGUCCAGUUGCCGUAGGGUUGGGUUGUGCUUGUGUGUGUUCUGCAAUAAAGUGGCUGGAGUUCCUCA